CGCCAGCCCGCUCAGAAACUCAAAGGAAUUGACGGGGCCCGCACAAGCGGUGGAGCAUGUGGUUUAAUUCGAUGAUACGCGAGGAACCUUACCUGGGCUCAAAUGUAUGUUGACGUAUUCUGAAAGGGAUACUUCUUCGGACAAUAUACAAGGUGCUGCAUGGUUGUCGUCAGCUCGUGCCGUGAGGUGUCGGGUUAAGUCCCAUAACGAGCGCAACCCCUAUCAUUAGUUGCCAUCAGGUCAAGCUGGGGACUCUAAUGAAACUGCCUACGCAAGUAGUGAGGAAGGUGGGGAUGACGUCAAAUCAGCACGGCCCUUACGUCCAGGGCUACACACGUGCUACAAUGGCCGGUACAAAGGGCAGCUACCUGGUGACAGGAUGCUAAUCUCAAAAGCCGGUCUCAGUUCGGAUCGGAGUCUGCAACCCGACUCCGUGAAGUUGGAUUCGCUAGUAAUCGCGCAUCAGCCAUGGCGCGGUGAAUACGUUCCCGGGCCUU
Molecule: ribosomal RNA, 497 nt
Filed under: uncultured Sphingobacteriales bacterium
Lineage: Bacteria; Pseudomonadati; Bacteroidota; Sphingobacteriia; Sphingobacteriales
Description: bacterial SSU rRNA
Rfam family: Bacterial small subunit ribosomal RNA
Source: RNAcentral